CAGAGUAGGCACACUGCGUUAAGUGCUGAAAGAUGGGAAGUUGCUUUCAGACGAAAAGGGUAAUCCUUGCGGUGGUGUUCCGCGUCCGCUGU
This 92-nucleotide non-coding RNA is filed under the name pig gut metagenome. Its description in RNAcentral is "THF riboswitch". It matches the Rfam family "THF (Tetrahydrofolate) riboswitch aptamer". From Rfam's summary of the family: THF riboswitch presents a pseudoknot that joins P1-P2 and the loop of P3 and two THF binding. The record is from RNAcentral. RNAcentral also lists the same sequence under 1 other name.